Molecule: long non-coding RNA, 753 nt
Filed under: Olea europaea subsp. europaea
Lineage: Eukaryota; Viridiplantae; Streptophyta; Magnoliopsida; Lamiales; Oleaceae
Source: RNAcentral
GGAUUGGUCGAUAUGUUACAAGAUCAUAGGAAUAGCACACGGAAUGAUUUUGCCUUCAGACUCUCGUCUAUGAAUUAUACAUCAUGAUCUCAAAGUUAGCAAUAUAUUAUUAAGUGGAGAUAUGAACCCAAAAAUAUCAGAUUUUGGCAUGGCGAAAGUUUUUGGUGUUGACUAUCUCAAUGAAAUACAAAGAAGAUUGUCGAGACAUAGUACGUUCUACUUCCUAUUUGUAGUGUACAUCUUCAUUCAUCUUGACUUGUAUAUGAUGUGGAAUGGGAUUGAUUGUAGCGGUUACAUGGCUCUAGAGUACGCAAUGCGUGGCCGCUUCCCAAUAAAAUCUGAUGUUUUUGGUUUUUGCGUCAUGGUUUUGGAAAUCAUAACAUAACCGGCAAGAAUAAUAACAACUUCUACAAAUCAGAUGGUACAAGCUCGAGCCUGAUAUGCUAUGUGAGUGCAAAGUUCUAAUUCUACCUGUAAAUUUAGGAUACUCAAACGAGCAUAUUAUAAAAUAUUACUGGUAACAAAUAAAAUAAUUAAAGUUAUUUAUAAAAAAUGAACUUCAUCUUAACCUACUUUUGCCUGAACAGGCUUGGAGACUUUGAAGAAAUAGUACACCUUGGAAUUAAUGGAUCCAACUUUGCAAGAGUCUUGUGCGUUGGAUGAAUCCAAUUGGCUUAUUGUGUGUUCAAAAAAGUGUUGAUGAUAGACCAAGAAUUACUUAAAAAGUUCAAUAAUGGCAGAAAUCAUCUAUAU